Molecule: ribosomal RNA, 482 nt
Filed under: uncultured bacterium
Lineage: Bacteria
Description: partial 16S ribosomal RNA
Rfam family: Bacterial small subunit ribosomal RNA
Source: RNAcentral
ACUCAAAUGAAUAGACGGGGACUUGCACAAGCGGUGGAUCAUGUGGCUUAAUUCGUAGCUAAGCGAAGAACCUUACCAGGGCUAGAAACCAAGCUGCAUCCGACCCGAAAGGGACGGAGCCUUCGAGGGUGCUUGGCAGGUGAUGCAUGGUUGUCGUCAGUUCGUGGCUUGAGCUGUUCCCUUCAGUGGGGUAACGAACGCAACCCUCGUUGUCUGUUAUUUUUUCAGGCGAGACUGCCCCCUCACGGGGGAGGAAGGUGGGGAUGACGCCAAAUCAGCAUGUCCCUUGAUGCCCUGGGCUGCACACGUGAUACAAUGGAUGGUACAAAAGGACGCAAUACCGUAAGGUGGAGCAAAUCCCAAAAACCAUCCCCAGUACGGAUAGAGGUCUGCAACCGACCUCUUGAAGCCGGAAUCGCUAGUAAUCCUGGGUCAGCCAUACCAGGGUGAAUACGUUCUCAAGUCUUGUACACACCGCCCGU